Molecule: ribosomal RNA, 1999 nt
Filed under: Escherichia coli
Lineage: Bacteria; Pseudomonadati; Pseudomonadota; Gammaproteobacteria; Enterobacterales; Enterobacteriaceae
Description: partial 23S ribosomal RNA
Rfam family: Bacterial large subunit ribosomal RNA
Source: RNAcentral
GGUUAAGCGACUAAGCGUACACGGUGGAUGCCCUGGCAGUCAGAGGCGAUGAAGGACGUGCUAAUCUGCGAUAAGCGUCGGUAAGGUGAUAUGAACCGUUAUAACCGGCGAUUUCCGAAUGGGGAAACCCAGUGUGAUUCGUCACACUAUCAUUAACUGAAUCCAUAGGUUAAUGAGGCGAACCGGGGGAACUGAAACAUCUAAGUACCCCGAGGAAAAGAAAUCAACCGAGAUUCCCCCAGUAGCGGCGAGCGAACGGGGAGCAGCCCAGAGCCUGAAUCAGUGUGUGUGUUAGUGGAAGCGUCUGGAAAGGCGCGCGAUACAGGGUGACAGCCCCGUACACAAAAAUGCACAUGCUGUGAGCUCGAUGAGUAGGGCGGGACACGUGGUAUCCUGUCUGAAUAUGGGGGGACCAUCCUCCAAGGCUAAAUACUCCUGACUGACCGAUAGUGAACCAGUACCGUGAGGGAAAGGCGAAAAGAACCCCGGCGAGGGGAGUGAAAAAGAACCUGAAACCGUGUACGUACAAGCAGUGGGAGCCUCUUUAUGGGGUGACUGCGUACCUUUUGUAUAAUGGGUCAGCGACUUAUAUUCUGUAGCAAGGUUAACCGAAUAGGGGAGCCGAAGGGAAACCGAGUCUUAACUGGGCGUUAAGUUGCAGGGUAUAGACCCGAAACCCGGUGAUCUAGCCAUGGGCAGGUUGAAGGUUGGGUAACACUAACUGGAGGACCGAACCGACUAAUGUUGAAAAAUUAGCGGAUGACUUGUGGCUGGGGGUGAAAGGCCAAUCAAACCGGGAGAUAGCUGGUUCUCCCCGAAAGCUAUUUAGGUAGCGCCUCGUGAAUUCAUCUCCGGGGGUAGAGCACUGUUUCGGCAAGGGGGUCAUCCCGACUUACCAACCCGAUGCAAACUGCGAAUACCGGAGAAUGUUAUCACGGGAGACACACGGCGGGUGCUAACGUCCGUCGUGAAGAGGGAAACAACCCAGACCGCCAGCUAAGGUCCCAAAGUCAUGGUUAAGUGGGAAACGAUGUGGGAAGGCCCAGACAGCCAGGAUGUUGGCUUAGAAGCAGCCAUCAUUUAAAGAAAGCGUAAUAGCUCACUGGUCGAGUCGGCCUGCGCGGAAGAUGUAACGGGGCUAAACCAUGCACCGAAGCUGCGGCAGCGACGCUGAUGCGUUGUUGGGUAGGGGAGCGUUCUGUAAGCCUGUGAAGGUGUGCUGUGAGGCAUGCUGGAGGUAUCAGAAGUGCGAAUGCUGACAUAAGUAACGAUAAAGCGGGUGAAAAGCCCGCUCGCCGGAAGACCAAGGGUUCCUGUCCAACGUUAAUCGGGGCAGGGUGAGUCGACCCCUAAGGCGAGGCCGAAAGGCGUAGUCGAUGGGAAACAGGUUAAUAUUCCUGUACUUGGUGUUACUGCGAAGGGGGGACGGAGAAGGCUAUGUUGGCCGGGCGACGGUUGUCCCGGUUUAAGCGUGUAGGCUGGUUUUCCAGGCAAAUCCGGAAAAUCAAGGCUGAGGCGUGAUGACGAGGCACUACGGUGCUGAAGCAACAAAUGCCCUGCUUCCAGGAAAAGCCUCUAAGCAUCAGGUAACAUCAAAUCGUACCCCAAACCGACACAGGUGGUCAGGUAGAGAAUACCAAGGCGCUUGAGAGAACUCGGGUGAAGGAACUAGGCAAAAUGGUGCCGUAACUUCGGGAGAAGGCACGCUGAUAUGUAGGUGAAGUCCCUCGCGGAUGGAGCUGAAAUCAGUCGAAGAUACCAGCUGGCUGCAACUGUUUAUUAAAAACACAGCACUGUGCAAACACGAAAGUGGACGUAUACGGUGUGACGCCUGCCCGGUGCCGGAAGGUUAAUUGAUGGGGUUAGCGGUAACGCGAAGCUCUUGAUCGAAGCCCCGGUAAACGGCGGCCGUAACUAUAACGGUCCUAAGGUAGCGAAAUUCCUUGUCGGGUAAGUUCCGACCUGCACGAAUGGCGUAAUGAUGGCCAGGCUGUCUCCA